UCCUAGUCUCCAGCCAUGCCUGUGGCAACCUGAGCCCACUCUCAACACAUUGGACCCAGGCAGAUGUAAAAAAUUCACAGAACUAUGAUUUGGACUCAAGGGAAUUAAAAAGGACCAAGAAGAGGAAGAAGACCAAGGCCCACCAGGCCCCGGGCUCAGCAGUGAGCUGCUGGAAGGGGAAGGGCCUGAAGUCUUGCAGGACUCACUG
This 208-nucleotide long non-coding RNA is filed under the name Homo sapiens (human). RNAcentral's name for it is "HSALNT0295410". Lineage: Eukaryota; Metazoa; Chordata; Mammalia; Primates; Hominidae. The record is from RNAcentral.